Molecule: microRNA precursor, 93 nt
Filed under: Plenodomus lingam JN3
Lineage: Eukaryota; Fungi; Ascomycota; Dothideomycetes; Pleosporales; Leptosphaeriaceae
Description: microRNA mir-598
Source: RNAcentral
UGAUGCUGAUGCUGCUGAUGCUGCUGCUGCUGCUGCUGCUGAUGCUGGGAGAGAGCAGCGACAGCGACAGCAGCAACACCGUUCUCCUUCCUA